Non-coding RNA from Acanthosepion pharaonis, 108 nucleotides. Lineage: Eukaryota; Metazoa; Mollusca; Cephalopoda; Sepiida; Sepiidae. The record is from the annotation of a GenBank genome assembly.
GGCUACAUCAUAUUGAAACACCUGUUCCUGUACAAUCACUGAAGUUAAGCAAGAUUGAGCCUGGUCAGUACUUACAUGGGCGAUCACUGGGGAAUACCAGGUGCUAUA